RNAcentral lists this long non-coding RNA (499 nucleotides) under Volvox carteri. RNAcentral describes it as "long non-coding RNA (VCAR_LNC001887)". Lineage: Eukaryota; Viridiplantae; Chlorophyta; Chlorophyceae; Chlamydomonadales; Volvocaceae. The record is from RNAcentral.
UCCGGCACCUGUUGAACUGUAUGGCCCAAUUGGUUUUCAUCAUUUUUGAGCCAGCAGUCGACUUGCUGCGGGUUUUUUCUUAACCACGGCAUAUGCGACCUUUUCACUCCUCGUAACUCGUAACAUAUUAUCUUGUAUGCCUUGCUAUCACGUAUACCGAACACAGCUUCCGGGCAUCGUACUACUUAAGUCGGUCAGCAUUUUUCAUGACCAUCAUGAAGUCCGACAAUAGUGCUCUAUCUACGACAACGACGACGAUGACCAUUACCAACAAAAUUACGAGUGUACCACAGUUGGCUGCUGAGUCCCUUACACGUCAUUGGUUAUUACGUCAUUCAAAAUAUUAACAUUGUAUAAUCUGCUCGCUGGUGGUCCAAAACGUUAUUCCGAGCCAUGCCCCAGUGUGGGCUGGCGGCUUGACUGUGCAGGGGACGGGUGCAGCCCUCUGUCCUCUGUUCGUCCAGGCAUUAUUGUGUCAUCUGCCUUCGAUUUCCUGUCG